Molecule: ribosomal RNA, 712 nt
Filed under: Ochthebius lividipennis
Lineage: Eukaryota; Metazoa; Arthropoda; Insecta; Coleoptera; Hydraenidae
Description: partial 18S ribosomal RNA
Rfam family: Eukaryotic small subunit ribosomal RNA
Source: RNAcentral
GGUGAAACCGCGAAAGGCUCAUUAAAUCAGUUAUGGUUCCUUAGAUCGUACCCACACUUACUUGGAUAACUGUGGUAAUUCUAGAGCUAAUACAUGCAAAUAGAGCUCCGACCGGAGACGGAAGGAGUGCUUUUAUUAGAUCAAAACCAAUCGGCGACGGGUCAAACCGUUGUCGUAAUAUUUGGUGACUCUGAAUAACUUUUUGCUGAUCGCACGGUCUUGCACCGGCGACGCAUCUUUCAAAUGUCUGCCUUAUCAACUGUCGAUGGUAGGUUCUGCGCCUACCAUGGUUGUAACGGGUAACGGGGAAUCAGGGUUCGAUUCCGGAGAGGGAGCCUGAGAAACGGCUACCACAUCCAAGGAAGGCAGCAKGCGCGCAAAUUACCCACUCYCGGCACGGGGAGGUAGUGACGAAAAAUAACGAUACGGGACUCAUCCGAGGYCCCGUAAUCGGAAUGAGUACACUUUAAAACCUUUAACAWGGAUCWAUUGKAGGGCAAGUCUGGUGCCAGCAGCCGCGGUAAUUCYAGCUCCAAUAGCGUAUAUUMWAGUUGUUGCGGUUAAAAMGCUCGUAGWCGAMUCUGUGUCCCGCGCCGUCRGKUCACCGCUCKCGGUGUWCAACUGGCGUGUCCGUGGGACGUCCUGCCGGUGGGCUUARUCUUUCGGGGCUGCCCWSUUAAAUCGCAUCGCGGUGCUCWUCAUUGAGUGUCGA